RNAcentral lists this ribosomal RNA (468 nucleotides) under uncultured bacterium. Its description in RNAcentral is "partial 16S ribosomal RNA". It matches the Rfam family "Bacterial small subunit ribosomal RNA", at positions 28 to 507 of the family's 1533-position model. The record is from RNAcentral.
GACGAACGCUGGCGGCGUGCCUAACACAUGCAAGUCGAACGGAACGGUCCCGCUUUUGUGGGGUGGUCGAGUUGAGAACGGGUGAGCUACCCGUGGGUUACCUGUAACUGACCUAGGGAUAUCUUCAGGACACUGGGGGUCAUACCGGCAAGGAGUUAUCGCCGUUUGGUGGGGGCUGGUUGGUUUAGGUGGUUGGGGAUGGACUAGCGGCCUAUGAGCUUGUUGGUGGGGUAGUGGCUUAGCAAGGCCUUGACGGGUAGGCGGCCUGGGAGGGGAACAGGCCACAUUGGGACUGAGAUGCGGCCCAGACUCCUACGCGAGGCAACAGUGGGGAAGAGAGCACAAUGGACGGGAGCCUGAUGCAGCAACGCCGCGUGCGGGAUGACGGCCUUCGGGUUGUGAACCACUUUCGCCUGUGACGAAGCGUGAAUGACGGUAAUGGGUAAAGAAGCACCGGCUAACUACGUG